Molecule: transfer RNA, 89 nt
Filed under: Candidatus Latescibacterota bacterium
Lineage: Bacteria; Pseudomonadati; Candidatus Latescibacterota
Description: Candidatus Latescibacteria bacterium tRNA-Ser
Rfam family: tRNA
About the family: Transfer RNA (tRNA) molecules are approximately 80 nucleotides in length.
Source: RNAcentral
GGAGAGGUGCGGGAGUGGCUUAACCGGACGGCCUCGAAAGCCGUUGUGCCCUCGUGGCACCGUGGGUUCGAAUCCCACCCUCUCCGCCA